AAACCUGGCCCUGCACACAGAUGAUCACACAGCAGGUAAUUGCUAUAAAUCGUUGAAAAGUUCCCUCGACUAUCUUUCGCCUCCAUCAUCAGACUUUAAUGGCACUUGUAACUCAUAUAGGUGCAAAGUUCCCAUCAAUAGAAAUGAAUUAAGUUCAAACAGCAGGUAAUUGCUAUAAGUCGUUGAAGAGUACCCUCGACUAUCUUUCGUCUCCAUCAUCAGACUAAAAUGGCACUUAUAACUCAUAUAUAUGCAAAGUUCUCAUCAAUAGAAACGAAUUAAGUUCAAACAGCAGGUAAUUGCUAUAAAUCGUUAAAGAGUUCCCUCGACUAACUUUUGUCUCCAUCAUCAGACUGUAAUGGCACUUGUAACUCAUAUAGGUGCAAAGUUCUCAUCAAUAGAAACGAAUUAAGUUCAAACAGCAGGUAAUUGCUAUAAAUCGUUAAAAAGUUCCCUCGACUAACUUUUGUCUCCAUCAUCAGACUGUAAUGGCACUUAUAACUCAUACAGGUACAAAGCUCUCAUCAAUAGAAACGAAUUAAGUUCAAACAGAAGUUAAUUGCUAUAAAUUGUUGAAGAGUUCCCUCGACUAUUUUUCUUCUCCAUCAUCAGAUCGACUCCAGACCUUUAUUAAAUAGUAAUGCUUUAUAGUACUUAAUGAAAACAUGAUUAAAUUUACUAGUCACCCUUACG
This 693-nucleotide unclassified non-coding RNA is filed under the name Melitaea cinxia (Glanville fritillary). RNAcentral's name for it is "misc RNA ENSMCXG00005019645.1". The record is from RNAcentral. Lineage: Eukaryota; Metazoa; Arthropoda; Insecta; Lepidoptera; Nymphalidae.